Molecule: ribosomal RNA, 1018 nt
Filed under: uncultured organism
Description: bacterial SSU rRNA
Rfam family: Bacterial small subunit ribosomal RNA
Source: RNAcentral
UGAGGAAUAUUGGUCAAUGGACGCAAGUCUGAACCAGCCAUGCCGCGUGCAGGAUGACGGCUCUAUGAGUUGUAAACUGCUUUUGUACGAGGGUAAACGCAGAUACGUGUAUCUGUCUGAAAGUAUCGUACGAAUAAGGAUCGGCUAACUCCGCGCCAGCAGCCGCGGUAAUACGGAGGAUUCAAGCGUUAUCCGGAUUUAUUGGGUUUAAAGGGUGCGUAGGCGGUUUGAUAAGUUAGAGGUGAAAUUUCGGGGCUCAACCCUGAACGUGCCUCUAAUACUGUUGAGCUAGAGAGUAGUUGCGGUAGGCGGAAUGUAUGGUGUAGCGGUGAAAUGCUUAGAGAUCAUACAGAACACCGAUUGCGAAGGCAGCUUACCAAACUAUAUCUGACGUUGAGGCACGAAAGCGUGGGGAGCAAACAGGAUUAGAUACCCUGGUAGUCCACGCAGUAAACGAUGAUAACUCGUUGUCGGCGAUACACAGUCGGUGACUAAGCGAAAGCGAUAAGUUAUCCACCUGGGGAGUACGUUCGCAAGAAUGAAACUCAAAGGAAUUGACGGGGGCCCGCACAAGCGGAGGAACAUGUGGUUUAAUUCGAUGAUACGCGAGGAACCUUACCCGGGCUUGAAAGUUAGCGACGAUUCUUGAAAGAGGAUUUCCCUUCGGGGCGCGAAACUAGGUGCUGCAUGGUUGUCGUCAGCUCGUGCCGUGAGGUGUCGGGUUAAGUCCCAUAACGAGCGCAACCCCUACCGUUAGUUGCCAUCAGGUGAAGCUGGGCACUCUGGCGGGACUGCCGGUGUAAGCCGAGAGGAAGGUGGGGAUGACGUCAAAUCAGCACGGCCCUUACGUCCGGGGCUACACACGUGUUACAAUGGUAGGUACAGAGGGCAGCUACCCAGCGAUGGGAUGCGAAUCUCGAAAGCCUAUCUCAGUUCGGAUUGGAGGCUGAAACCCGCCUCCAUGAAGUUGGAUUCGCUAGUAAUCGCGCAUCAGCCAUGGCGCGGUGAAUACGUUCCC